RNAcentral lists this ribosomal RNA (459 nucleotides) under uncultured bacterium. Its description in RNAcentral is "partial 16S ribosomal RNA". It matches the Rfam family "Bacterial small subunit ribosomal RNA", at positions 338 to 795 of the family's 1533-position model. The record is from RNAcentral.
CCUACGGGAGGCAGCAGUGAGGAAUAUUGGUCAAUGGGCGGGAGCCUGAACCAGCCAAGCCGCGUGAGGGAAGAAGGUACAGCGUAUCGUAAACCUCUUUUGUCAGGGAACAAAGGCGGGGACUAGUCCCCGGAUGAGGGUACCUGAAGAAAAAGCAUCGGCUAACUCCGUGCCAGCAGCCGCGGUAAUACGGAGGAUGCGAGCGUUAUCCGGAUUUAUGGGGGUUAAAGGGUGCGCAGGCGGCCUGUUAAGUCAGCGGUAAAAGCGCGGGGCUCAACCCCGGCGAGCCGUUGAAACUGGCGGGCUGGAGUUGGAGAGAAGUACGCGGAAUGCGCGGUGUAGCGGUGAAAUGCUUAGAUAUCGCGCAGAACCCCGAUUGCGAAGGCAGCGUACCGGCUCCACACUGACGCUGAGGCACGAAAGCGUGGGUAUCGAACAGGAUUAGAUACCCCAGUAGUC